GCCCAUGAUNAGCGGGAAGAAGGUGUNGAUGACGUCAAGUCCUCAUGGGCNCUACGGGUUUGGCNACACACGUGCUACAAUGGCAGUGACAAUGGGUUNAUCCCCAAAAGCUGUCUCANUUCNGAUUGGGGUCUGCNACUCGACCCCAUGNAGUCGGAAUNGNUAGUAAUCGCGUAACAGCAUGUCGCGGUGAANACGUUCCCGGGCCUUGUACACACCGCCCGUCACACCCACUGGGAGUUGGUU
This 246-nucleotide ribosomal RNA is filed under the name uncultured bacterium. Its description in RNAcentral is "partial 16S ribosomal RNA". It matches the Rfam family "Bacterial small subunit ribosomal RNA", at positions 1151 to 1416 of the family's 1533-position model. The record is from RNAcentral.